GAUGAACGCUGGCGGCGUGCCUAAUACAUGCAAGUCGAGCGAACAGACGAGGAGCUUACUCCCCUGACGUUAGCGGCGGACGGGUGAGUAACACGUGGAUAACCUACCUAUAAGACUGGGAUAACUUCGGGAAACCGGAGCUAAUACCGGAUAACAUGUUCAACCGCAUGGUUCAACAGUGAAAGACGGUCUUGCUGUCACUUAUAGAUGGAUCCGCGUCGCAUUAGCUAGUUGGUAAGGUAACGGCUUACCAAGGCAACGAUGCGUAGCCGACCUGAGAGGGUGAUCGGCCACACUGGAACUGAGACACGGUCCAGACUCCUACGGGAGGCAGCAGUAGGGAAUCUUCCGCAAUGGGCGAAAGCCUGACGGAGCAACGCCGCGUGAGUGAAGAAGGUCUUCGGAUCGUAAAACUCUGUUAUUAGGGAAGAACAAAUGUGUAAGUAACUAUGCACGUCUUGACGGUACCUAAUCAGAAAGCCACGGCUAACUACGUG
This 497-nucleotide ribosomal RNA is filed under the name uncultured bacterium. RNAcentral's name for it is "partial 16S ribosomal RNA". It matches the Rfam family "Bacterial small subunit ribosomal RNA", at positions 28 to 507 of the family's 1533-position model. The record is from RNAcentral.